This 823-nucleotide ribosomal RNA is filed under the name Ischnocnema nanahallux. RNAcentral describes it as "partial 16S ribosomal RNA". The stretch from base 153 to 823 matches the Rfam family "Bacterial large subunit ribosomal RNA", at positions 568 to 1816 of the family's 2925-position model. The record is from RNAcentral. Lineage: Eukaryota; Metazoa; Chordata; Amphibia; Anura; Brachycephalidae.
UACUAAAAAUUUAGCCCCUCUCACUAAUUACACCUAAAACACCAUUAAAAUAUUUUACCAUUUAAGUAAAGAUGAUUAAAAUCUUAACAGGAGCCAUACCAACGUACCGCAAGGGAAAAAUGAAAUAAAAAUGAUAUACCUCAAGCACAAAAAAGUAAAGAUUAUAACUUGUACCUUUUGCAUCAUGAUUUAACUAGUCUAAUCAAGCAAAAAGACUUUUAGUUUGACUUCCCGAAACUGAGUGAGCUACCUCAGGGCAGCUUAUUGAGCAAACCCGUCCCUGUUGCAAAAGGGUGGGAAGACCCCGUAGUAGAGGUGAUAAACCUAACGAACUCAGUGAUAGCUGGUUACUCAAGAAAAGAAUUUAGUCCAACCUAAAGACACCCUACAACUUAGAAUAUCCUUUAGAGCAACUCAAAUAAGGUACAGCCUAUUUGAUACAGGACACAACCUCCAACAACGGGUAACUCACUUAUAAUGAAACUAAGUGGGCCUAAAAGCAGCCACCUUGAAAAAGCGUCAAAGCUUAAUUUCACUUAUUACUAAUACCUCAACACAUACAAAACCCUUCAUCAAUAUUGAGUACUUCUAUAAUACUAUAGAAAUUUUUAUGUUAAAACUAGUAACAAGAAGACACUUCUCCUUUAAUGCAAACAUAGAUCAGAAUGAACCACCCACUGAUCAUUAAACAACUGACCAACAGCACCUCCCCAGAAACCCCUGUUUUCACAACUGUUAACCUAACACAAGAGCAUUUCAAGAAAGAUUUAAAGAAAAAGAAGGAACUCGGCAAAUAUUAAUUCCGCCUGUUUACCAAAAACAU